GACGAACGCUGGCGGCGUGCUUAACACAUGCAAGUCGAACGGUAAGGCCCUUCGGGGUACACGAGUGGCGAACGGGUGAGUAACACGUGGGUGAUCUGCCCUGCACUUCGGGAUAAGCCUGGGAAACUGGGUCUAAUACCGGAUAGGACCACUGCCUGCAUGGGUGGUGGUGGAAAGCUUUUGCGGUGUGGGAUGGGCCCGCGGCCUAUCAGCUUGUUGGUGGGGUGAUGGCCUACCAAGGCGACGACGGGUAGCCGGCCUGAGAGGGUGACCGGCCACACUGGGACUGAGAUACGGCACAGACUCCUACGGGAGGCAGCAGUGGGGAAUAUUGCACAAUGGGCGCAAGCCUGAUGCAGCGACGCCGCGUGGGGGAUGACGGCCUUCGGGUUGUAAACCUCUUUCAGCACCGACGAAGCGCAAGUGACGGUGGGUGCAGAAGAAGGACCGGCCAACUACGUGCCAGCCGCCGCCGUAA
RNAcentral lists this ribosomal RNA (478 nucleotides) under uncultured bacterium. RNAcentral describes it as "partial 16S ribosomal RNA". It matches the Rfam family "Bacterial small subunit ribosomal RNA", at positions 28 to 523 of the family's 1533-position model. The record is from RNAcentral.